GAAACCACAUCCCUCAUCAAUUUGAGCAACAGGGGUGAAGGACAACCAUUUUCAUUCAUUAGGUCAGUAUCCAGAAUAAUACCCUUCAAAUUGUCCAAAUAACGUCUAUGCUUCAUAGAUUCUCCAUCCAAGUUCUGGUUAGGACAAGCAUUUUCUGAAGUGUCAGCAUAAAUCUGAAUAAGGUCACUCAAGCUGCAAAUGCAGCGUUCCAAAGCAAGAUAAACAAAAUCUUGGUCUUGUUCCACACCAUACCACCGAACGAUAUUUGGAUGUCGAUCAGAUGCAAUAAGAUUCUGUAUCUCUUUGAAGGCAAUAUCAUGAUGUGCCCUGACAAGUCUUUUAACAGCAACUGCACGGCCUUCAUAAAUUCCUUCAAAUACAACUGUACCAUUGCUCCCUUUAGCAAUCUCUGAACUGGAGACAAACAAUUUACCAAUAGAGCGUCCACCUUUGGUACAUAUACUUGGUUGAAGAAAGUUCAACAGUUUAUUAUCAGCAUCCACGUCUGCAUAUUUAAGUCCAGUACCAGAUGAGGUGUCUUUAUCACUUUUAAUGCCAUUGCUCCCAUUCUUUCCAGACUUCCGAGACUUCUUCCUUUUUGAAGGUACAUUUGGCGAAUGUAGGUUCCCAUUGAGUUCAGCUACUAAAUCACGAUUAUGUGUAAAAGCUCCCACAAGAGUAGCUAAAAUACUGUGAAUUGGCAUGGUCAAUCUUUCAGAGCACUUUGAUAUUCCUUUUUUAAAUGGACUUUUAGCAUCUUGUAACAUUAUGUUUUUGGUGAAAAAAAUUAUGAACACCGUCAAUAUGACAAGCAUAGUUUUUUUAAUAAUAUCUUUUAAGUGGAAGGUGUUUACAUUCUUGUCGGGCACGGGCGUAGCUGCAUUAUCAACAUUUGGUUGUGAAGUAGGAAUUGGCAGCAUACCGUGAUUAUCAGCCUCUGGGAGCAUCUUGUUAUCAUGACCUCGGCGUCUGUAGAUAAGGGCCCUUGACUGACAUGGCAAUGGCAUAUUGAAAUGGACAUCAGGUUCAGAUUUGUCAGACUCCAUAAUAUCCCCACUUAAUGCAUCAUCAACUUUGCAAAGAACAGCAGCCCCUAUUUCAGCAACCGUCAUGUUCCACAACACUUUGUCUGAGUUUGGAAUAAAGGACGUUAAUGCAUAGUCUGUCCUGGUGAUGUAAAGCGUGUAGCUGGGAAGACUCUUUUCCUCAAUGGUGCCAUUAUGAUGAAAAGCAGUGUCGUUGUCCUGAGUUGCUGGAGAGCUAGGCAUACUAUAUGUGUAAAUCAAUCGUCCAGUCUUAGCAUCAAUAAGAAAUGCAGUAGUUCUUUUAGAACCCAGAACAAUUCCGCCGUCCUCAGCUAUUUGUGGAGUUGAACUAAUAUACUCAUCAAUACUCUUCAUAAGUUUCAAUUUACCAAGCCUGUUGUGUGCAUACAACUCCCAAUCAUCCCCACGGCCACAGUCGAUGAAAUAACCACUUCCUAUAUCAGAUGAUGCCUCCUUGCUGUUAUUGUAAUUAACAGGAGCCUGAUAAGAAGAGUAGAUUGAUGACCCAGAUCUAAAUGACCAGAGCGGUGGUUUCAUAGUAUUUAAGCUAUUUUGCUCCCUCAAAGAAACUGUACCAUCCAAUUCAGCAAACAGAGCUGUCUCAGGUUUCUUUAAUUCCGACAGCAAAUUCCUCCUCGCCGGAGCUAGCGUAACCCCAUCAGAAACUCCUUCAAUUGACCCACUUGGUAAGCCAAAUAACUCACUUGCCAAAACCGUCAAGCUGAAAAAUAAGAGUAAAAUGCCGGCCGGAAUCACCCAGUAGCGUCUCAUCGACCUGAAAUUGACCGCCGAUUUUUCUUCUGUUGAUGGGGGUGGGGGUAUACAAAUAAAUUAGGAGUGGUGGCGUACGAUAGAGUUAUGGGUUACAUCGAAGAUUGCAAUUGAGGAAAUCUUAGAGAUUCGAUUCGAAAUAUGAAAGAAAGGGCGUUGUCGUCUGGAUUUUGGGUUCCUCGAAUUUCGUCGAUCGAUGGCUG
RNAcentral lists this unclassified non-coding RNA (2020 nucleotides) under Hevea brasiliensis (rubber tree). The record is from RNAcentral. Lineage: Eukaryota; Viridiplantae; Streptophyta; Magnoliopsida; Malpighiales; Euphorbiaceae.